RNAcentral lists this long non-coding RNA (44293 nucleotides) under Triticum aestivum (bread wheat). RNAcentral describes it as "long non-coding RNA (TAES_LNC027845)". Lineage: Eukaryota; Viridiplantae; Streptophyta; Magnoliopsida; Poales; Poaceae. The record is from RNAcentral.
CUUCACACACGCUCUCACCACUUACCGCAGUUUACAUGACAUGUACUCGGCAACCUUCAAGGGGAAGCCCGGCGAGGGUGUCGGCCACGACCUGACUAACCACACAAGUCUCUCGUCCAGGUUUAUCGCCUAUUCGGGUUCCAUUCGCAAGGAGAUCCGUCCGGGGUGUCGCUCACGGCCCCAAACGAUGUGUGCAGGGUUCCCAAGCCCACCUCGACGGGUGGAUCUACGCUUGGCACACCGUGCCAGUGUGCCUAGUCUGUCCCAAGCCCACCUGUACCGGGUGCCGCUUGGUAGACUACUAACACUACCUACAAACACCAGAAACUAGUUGCAACUCCUGGACAGAGAUCAUGUUGAUUAAUAAGCCGAGAGGGGCCGAGUUACCGGAACCCAAUGUGUGGUAGUAACUAUUCAUGGAUCACAAACACAGAACUCAGUUCCUAAGGACGGCUGCAAUGAGACAACCCACCAUGUACUCCUACAUGGCCUCUCACCGCUACCUUUACCAAAUCGUGUUCACACACUUAGCUCUCAACAAUAGGACAUGUUCACACACCUCUGAUUCAUCCCCGAUGAAUCAGACCUGACUCAACUCUAAGCAGUAGCAGGCAUGACAAACAAGCAUGAAUGAGUAGGCACAACAGGGCUCAAACAACUCCUACUCAUGCUAGUGGGUUUCAUCUAUUUACUGUGGCAAUGACAGGUCAUGCAAAGGAUAAAGGGGUUCGGCUACCGCAACAAGUAAUAGAUGAAUCGUUGUUGUCCUAAUGGAGUAAAAGAGAGCAGGAGCGAGAGAGUGGGUAUUAUCGGAAUGAACAAGGGGGUUUUGCUUGCCUAACACUUCUGAAGAUAGAAAUAGUUCUUCAUCGGUGUCAUCGAUCUCAUCGUCAGUAUCACGUCUAUCGAGAGGGGACAAAUACCGGCAAACAAGGAAGAACACAAUCAAUGCAAUGCACAAUAUGAUGCAUGAUCAUGACAUGGCAAUAUGCUAUGAUUUGAGCUAAUGCAACUAGCAGCAAGUUAAAUGGAGUUGGUUUGAACCCUAGGUUCAAAUUCAAACUCCACAUGUGAUUAUUUAAAUGCCAUUCAUAUGAUUUGUCCUAAACAGCAACUAUAAGUUGUUCUAACAUUCAUGAAAAUGAUGCAGAUGGAUAGAUUGGAUUUUUCUGAUAAUUUUUCAUAUAUAAAUUAUUUCAUUUGGAGUUAUAGAUUAAUUUAUAUGAUUUUUAGAAGUUAGCACUAUUUUCUGGAAUUUUCUGAAUAAAAAUAAAUCCAGAUAAGGCAUUGUUGCGUCAGCACUACGUCAUUGUGACAUCAGCAGGGUCAACAGGGCUGGUCCAGGUCAAACCUGACCAAUGGGGUCCACUGGUCAGUGACUCAGGGCUAGUUAGAGUCGCUGACAUGUGGGCCAGGUCAAAGUCCACGUCAUCUUGGUCAAAACUGACGCGUGGGCCUACUGUUUUAAAUAACUAAUCUAGUUAUUUUUGUUAAGCAGUAAACUAACAGGUGGGUCCCACUGUCAGCAUCUAGUGUUAGACUAACAGCGUUAGUUAGCCCUAAUCUAAUGACUGCCACGCGAGCUAACCGGCGAUUAGCCGCCGGUGCUAAGCAGGGUGCGGCGGCGCCCCUCGUCUGGCCAUCUCCAGCGACUAGAGCUCACGCGGCUGGGCUCUACGGACGCAGCGCAUCGAGGCGCAUCGGUUGGUGGCUGUGGGUGGUGCCGGGGUGGACUACAGCGGCGACGGCAAGGACGACAGCGGCGGCCGGAGCUCGGCUAAGCGCGGGUGCGGUGCUGUAGCUCGUAGGCGAGUGAAUGGAGGUGCUAGGCAGCACCUAAAGGGCAGCAGGAGCACGUCGGAGCUACUACGCGAGGCGGAGGUGCUCAGGGGCAUAGAGCUCGUCGGCCAUGGCGGACGGCGGCUUCGGGCGCUCGCGGGGCAGCGGCUAUGGGGCACGCGCGAGAGAGAGAGGUGAGGGGAAAGGAAGAGGGGCUCACGGCGGACUCGCAGAGCAGCUCAAUGGGCUCGGGGAAGCUUUGGUUGCCGCGAAUACGACGACGGUGAUCCACGGCGGCCGAGGCCGAAGACGAUGAUGGUGGCGUCGCUUCGCGCGUCCCACAGGCGCGAGCUUCGUCUUGGGGCUCCUUGGCGUCUAGGUGGAGCCUCUGGACAGCACAGAGAGGCGAGGGAGAGGCGAUGGCCGCGGUUGUGCCCGGCGGCAGCGACGACAGCGCUCGGUGGUUGCGUGCGAGAGAGCCAGAGGACAAGAGGGAGAACGGCGAGUGAGAGAGAGGGAACAGGGGCUUCGAGGCGUCUCCAUGGCGUUGCUAGAAGGGGCCGGGGAAGCAGGAGGUGGCCAGAGCAGCGUCGGCGCUCGCCACGCACCUGGUUGUCCUCCUGGCAGAGGAGGAAGAUGACAAGGGGGCGCUGGUGGGCUGGGCCGCCAGCUGGGCUGCCAGCAAGCUAUAGUAGCGGGCCGCAGGUGGGUGCAGGUAAGUCCUUCUGCUCUAUUUUAUAUUUUCUGUUUGUUUUCUAUUUCUGUAAUUUGUUUUUGAUUUAGUUUUCAAACUAAAUCAAAUUUACUGCUUCUAAUAAAUAUUGUGUGGGCUAGUUGAGCUAUUCCAGAGCCCCACACAAAUUUACAGAAUCAUUGGACUUAUAUUAAAUAUAUAGCAAAUAUAAAUCCAAUGCAAAUAGUUGUUGCAUUAACUCCAAAUGCCAAAAAUAAAUAUUUAUGAGCUCCUAAAAAUAUUGGUUUGAAUUUUACCUCUGGUCAAUAUUUUCAGGAGAAACAUGAACAUUUUCUUGGACCUAUUUGAAGAAAUUUUUAUCUUGGUCAUUUUCAGAAAUGAUUUCCGAGGCUUUCACAUGUCCCCAUUUCAAAUUCAUUGAAAUUUAAACAUGAUGCACACAUGACUAGCUAGUCUAGAUCAUACCAGAACUAGGGAUGUGACAGAGGAACCCUUCCAAGCUUCAAGACGGCCGGCGGCGACCUCCAGCCAGUCGGCGGUCCGACCGGCGGUGCACAGAGCCGGCAUGUCUGGCCACAGAGCGGCAACCGCCUGGGUGCCGGCACGCUGAAGCCGGCGCAUCAGCCGGUGGGCCGGACGAAGACGGGCUUCAAUGCUCAGAAGCUGCUCAUCGAUGGUUCGGGGGGCAUUAGCAGCGAUCUCCGCGCCGCUUGCCCUCCGCAGCUCGCGAUCAGCCUCGAUGGCCAGGGUGACUGCCUGCGAGUGGCGAGGGAAGAAGUCUGCCAAGACAAAAAAGAAGUGAGUCGACAAAACCAGAAAUUGGCUCGACCUAUAGUCGGAAGCUCGAAGAAAGGAAAGAAACUCACCAUCGACGAUGUCCUUGAUCUCGUGGAAGCCGGAGGUUAGCAUCGCCUCCCUGUCAGUCCAGGAGGAGCGCUCGCUCUCGAACUCGGCCAGGAGAGCGGCAUCCUUCUCGGCCUCGUCCUGCGCCUUCUAGAGCAGCUCCUUCUGCUCGGCCAGCUGCGCAGCCAGCAGGUCGCGCUCUACGGCAAGCUUGCCGCACUCCUCCUCCUUGGUGCGCAGGGUGGUAUUGGCCUCGCCCAGCUGGUGCUGAAGAGCGGCGUUGACCUCUGAAGAAGAAAAAAGACGAAAGAAGAUAAGUCAUCAACAAAGAAAGUCGCUGAGAAGAUCCGGCCCGACUGCUCAGCAGUCGGCCCGAAUCUCGGGGACUACAGCCCGCGGGUGCGCCAGCGCGCCCCUGCGAGAAAGAAGAAGGACUCACCCCGGCUCUCCGACAGGUUGGCAGUCCGGCUGCCUAACUCCUCAACAUUACGGUUGAAGGCGGUAGCGCGGAGGUUGUGAUACUCCUGCAAUAAUCAUUUAAGACAAAGUUAACAUUUGGAACUCGCCAGAGGGAGUUCCGAACCGCCUACUCAGCAGCCGGCCCGAAACUCGGGGACUACACCUAGUGGGUGCGCAGGCGCGCCCCCACAGAGAAAAACAAGAAUCAAAAAGAAGAAGGAAACAUACUCGGACGGCCGUCCGCGCUGCCAGAUGCGCCCUGGUGCAAGUUUGAAGGGCGUCGCCUUCAGCGUGCAGCUUCGCCUGGACGUCCAGAAGCGCUUGAUUCAGCGGCCCAGUGCCGCCUCCGUGCAACCACCUGAUGGGCGCGGCGCUUGUCGCCUCGGCGUCUGGGGUUGCCGAGCUGGCGGUGCCGGUCUCGCGGGGUCGCGGGGCCGAGGUCGCCCUCUCAAGACGGCGGCGCACCGGCGAGGCGACUUGGAGAAGCAGCCUCGCCUCAGACUCGUCUGCGGUCGGCGGCUCUGGACGAUCUGCCGGCUGUUUGCCGUGCGCUCUCCCAGACGGCGAUGGAGGCGGCGGUGGCGGCACGAGCGUGUCCGAGAUGGAGGCCUCGCCGCUCUCCUUCUCCAAGACGGGAGUCUCGGCGCCGGUUUCUCCAGUCUGCCCCGUGAACUCCGGGGGCGGCGGCACCGAGGACAGUGGGGUGACAAACUGCGCCGACUGGCGACGCGCGGCCUCCUCGACUCGCUGCUUGCUGCGGCGGGGGCUUUGGCCUCCUCCAGUUUUUUCUGGGCGGAGGCCGCCGCCUUCUCGGCCUCCGCCUUCUCCAGGCGGUCGGCCUCAUCCUCAGCGCGCUUCUCCCGCGCAUUUUGCUCUGUCGCCUCCUGGAGGUCGGCGGCGGGGUCAAUCCGCCGAGUGUUGGCAGACGUCUCCGCCGACCCCAUGACGAAGGGGGCGACGACCCUCUCAAGGGAAAGGGGAGCCCUGAAGCAAAAAGGGAAUGAAAAAGAGAAACUCGGACGAGAUUAACCGAGGGAGAAUAAGGACAAAGGAAGAAACACUUACGCAGAGACUAGAGGCGGCCUCCUCACUUCCCUGUGGAAGCGAUUGGCCCUCGCGGCCGCCUCCUCCCGCCUGGUCGCGGCGGCCGCCCCCUUGAGCUUCUUCGGCUUGCCGCCGAAUGAACUCGGCCCAGGCUGGCGCCUCUUCAAGCCGCCUUGGCCGGCGGAGGAACCCGUGCCCGAUGAGCCGACCCUCGGCUGGUGGCGCGGGGCGACUUCCCCUUCGGUGUUGUCAUCAGGCCAGUCGGCAAAUGUGGCCGAGGGCCUGAGGCCGCCUCCUGCUCCUCCUCCCCCCGCCAUCAGCGUCGGCUUCCAUCGCCGCCGCCCCCAAGUCGGGGUCAUCAAUGUCGCUCUCCGCUCGGUCGGGGACAAACUCGCGGGGCGGUCUUGUGACGCCGGGUGCGGGCUGCAUGAGGGGGUUCUAGUUCAAAGAAACCAAUAAAAAUCAGAAGUCGUAGUCGGCUACGAAGAAGACAAAGCGAUAAAGAGAUGCGACUUACCACUGGAGGGGGGUUGGCGCGCGAGUACGGCUCCUUGCCGAACUGCCAGUCCUCCCCAAACUCGCAGUUCGCGAUGUGCUUCACCAUGUUUGCCACCUCUGCGCAGGGCAUUUCCUUGGUGCACAUCCGACUCGGGUCCCGGUGGUCACUCAUCUGACUGAUCAGAUGAGGCCGGCCUUGGAGAGGGAGGACUCGGCGCACCACAAAGGCGGCCAGCAAGUCGUCCCCGACGAGGCCCUCCGACUGCGUAAGAACCCGGAGCCACGCCACGGCAGCGGCUCCGGCGGGAGUCAACGUCUUGGCUCGAUGAGACCAGCUGGGAAGCCUCCCAGCCGGUGCGCCGGCUUCGUAAGGUGGCAGAUUGACCCAAUCCCCAUCGGGGGCAACGCUCUUCACGUAGAAGUAUGACCGUUGCCACAUCUUCACCGAUUUGAUCAACGCGAUGGCGGGGAACGGGUUGUCGGCCGUCUACCGCCGCAACGCGAUGAAGGCGCCGCAUUGAGCCGGCACGCCGGCGACGUGCGUGCCGAGCUUGGAAGAGAAGAAUUCUCCCCACAACUCGAUGGUGGGGAGGACGCCAAGGAAGCCUUCGCACAGAGUGGCGAAGGCGGACAGCAGCACCACCGUGUUUGGGGUAAGGUGGUGCGGGUGGAUCUCGUGGAACUCCAGAAAGGCGCGGAAGAAGCUGCUCGCCAACAACCCCAGGCCGCGCAUGAGGUGCGAGCGGAAGAUGACCUGCUCGCCCUCCUCCGGCGCCGGCCGAAUCUCCCCCUCCGGCGUGGCGCGGGCACGCACGAGGUCUGCGCCAGGGAGCCGGCGCGUUCGGCGGAGGAACUCGAUAUGCUCAUCAUCCACCUCCGAGCCGUCCCACACGCCGGAGCGCACGGCGGGGGCCGCGGCGGCGGAGGAAGAGCUCAUCGCCGUUGGUGUGGUGUGUUCUUGCUCAAACGGCAGCGAAAGGAAGGAAAGGAGGCAAGAGGAGGCGGAGGGAGCGGNNNNNNNNNNNNNNNNNNNNNNNNNNNNNNNNNNNNNNNNNNNNNNNNNNNNNNNNNNNNNNNNNNNNNNNNNNNNNNNNNNNNNNNNNNNNNNNNNNNNNNNNNNNNNNNNNNNNNNNNNNNNNNNNNNNNNNNNNNNNNNNNNNNNNNNNNNNNNNNNNNNNNNNNNNNNNNNNNNNNNNNNNNNNNNNNNNNNNNNNNNNNNNNNNNNNNNNNNNNNNNNNNNNNNNNNNNNNNNNNNNNNNNNNNNNNNNNNNNNNNNNNNNNNNNNNNNNNNNNNNNNNNNCGCGCAGUAACGACGUGGGAAAACCAACCGACCGCACGGCCGCAAUGAAUCCGUUUGAAUGCCGAGGCGCGGUAGUGGCGGGCCCCGCCUGACGGCCCGUCCCGUCGCGCGCGUGGGAAGGCAGACUACUCCCGCCGCGUGGCGCCACACAAUAGGACCACACUGAUGUCCACGGGGAAGCGUAUCAGGCAUGCCGCAUGGUCUCCCGCCACGACUUCCGAGCUCUUUACGAGGCGGGGCGGCCCUCCGCAAAUCCAACUUUGGAUAGUCGGCCCGAAGGAAGACGGCAGCCGAAGCCCAGAAUCCACUCACGGAAGAUUGAAACUUUUGAAGCCCCACGAUGCAGUGUCCGCAGAGCUUCACCAGCUUCGGGGACUACUGUCGGAGUAAUGGGCCACGGGUAGGCCAACCCGAGCCCCAGGACCUUUCAAGACAUCGGGGCAGGCCACGCCACUCAUGCCGAGUCCCUGGGAUGACCCAAGAUAUGCGUUUCCCAGGGACGACUCCAAGUUAUGCCGAGUCCCAGGGACGACUCCAAGUUAUGCCGAGUCCCAGACGGCGACUCCGCGACAAGCCGAGUCCCAGAUGGCGACUCCAAGACAAGCCGACUCCUGGCCGGCGACCUCCAGAGAGGCCGGCUAUGGAGAGUCGGCCCACGACUCCACCCUCGUCUCGAAGGACGAGGCGGGGUACGGCCACGGCAUGGCCGUCCCCCCUGCUUACGACGAGCCGGCAUGGCUAUAGUGAGCCGUAUCGCUAGAGAUCUCCGGCGAGGCGCGGCACUAUUGCCAUGCCUACCCUGACCUCAGCCACAGUAGGCAGUGCACUGAGCCCACGACGCCGGCCUGUAUGACCCAAGGGCGGCGGGGCCGCCCGUCAGUGGGUAGACCGAAGACGGCAUGAGUGCCCUAGAGACAGACCGAUGGGAGUCGGCCCCCUGGAGUCAGCCGACCCCUCCCCCGGGCCCCGCACGCCAUUAACCAGAUAAGAUGGGGAGUGGCGACAGUGAACGCACGCCAGACGGCGGCGCUGUAGCCAUGACCGCCUGACCAAGCGAGCAUCAUCAUGAGUACCGCUACAGUCUCAGGCCUAUUCGCGGGGCCAGCCAGUCGGCGGGCCCCAGUAGUCGGUAGGAAGGACGACGGCCUGAGAGACAAACGGCUGGGACCCGCUCCCAGCCGGAUUACUAUUGUACCCCUGGGGGGUAGGCCUAUAUAAACCGCCCGGGAAGCCCAUGCAAAGGGUUCGGACCCAGAUAGGAAUAGACCUUAGAUCACAGGAGGGAGAAGCCAGCCUUGCCUUAUCCUACCUCCAGAAAUAGCUCCAGGAGCACCAUUGUAACCACUUUGCCAUAGUGACCAUGCGGAGACCCCGCAGAGCAGCAGUACGGGUGUUAUCUCCUCGAAGAGCCCUAAAGCUGGGUACGUUCCACCGGCGUGCAUGUCUCCGCCUCAUCCCUCUUCCGGGCACCGGCGACGUUCUACUCGCUCCCACCAUGAUAAGCCAUCCUUUGUCAUAUGUCGUAACCAACCCCCGAGAGGAGGUGUUCUUCCCAGAAUGGCUUGCCAACCCGGUCCUGGUGUUAAAGAAGAACAAGCAGUGGCCCAUGUGCAUUGACUACACCAGCCGCAACAAAGCCCGCCCUAAAGAUCCUUUUGCUCUGCCAAGGAUUGAUCAAGUGAUAGACUCCACAGCCGGAUGCGAGCUGUUGAGUUUGUUGGAUGCUUACUCAGGCUACCACCAGAUAAAAUUGGACCCAGCUGACCGCCUGAAGACCGCCUUCAUCACCCCAUUCGGAGCUUUCUGUUACCUGACUUUGACAUUUGGCUUGAGAAAUGCCGGUGCCACUUUUCAGCGUUGCAUGCAGAAAUGCCUCCUCAAGCAACUCGGCAGAAAUGCCCACGUCUAUGCAGACAAUGUUGUGGUGAAGACGGACAAACGCAACACCUUGCUGGAAGACCUCAAGGAGACCUUUGAGAAUCUGUGCCGGUUUCAGAUGAAGCUCAACCCUGAAAAAUGCAUGUUCGGGGUACCAGCCGGCCAACUCCUAGGCUUCCUGGUCUCCGAACGCGGCAUCGAAUGCAACUCAGUGAAGAUCAAGGCCAUAGACAGAAUGAAGAUCCAUACCAAGCUGCGAGACGUCCAAAAGUUCACCAGAUGCCUGGCAUCUUUGAAUCGCUUCAUCAGCCGGCUCGGAGAGAAGGCCCUCCCCCUCUACCGACUCAUGAAAAAGUCCACUCAUUUCGAGUGGAAUGACCAGGCGGGCCAAGCUUUCCACAAUCUAAAGAAGAUGCUGUCCACGCCGCCUAUCUUGGCGGCACCGACUGAGAAAGAGCCCAUGUUCAUCUACACUGCCGCCGCUAGCCGGGUGGUCAGCAUAGUUAUCGUGGUCCAGCGUCUAGAAGAAGGCCGAACUCAGCUAGUCCAGAGGCUGGUAUAUUAUUUGAGUGAAGUACUCUCCACCUUGAAGCAGAACUACCCGCAUUAUUAGAAGAUGUGCUAUGGUGUGUACUUCGCCUCCAAGAAACUCAAGCCCUACUUUCAAGAGCAUACCAUCACGGUCGUAUGCACUGCCCCGCUCGCCGAUAUCAUAGGCAGCUGGGAUGCAUCCGGCCGAGUGGCGAAAUGCGCCAUUGCGCUGGAUCCUUACACAAUCUACUACCAGCCCCGCACCGCCAUCAAGUCCCAACCAUUGGCCUACUUCCUCGUCGACUGGGCCGAGGCCCAGUACCUGCCACUGGCCCCCGACUCCACUCAUUGGCGGAUGCACUUUGACGAAUCCAAGAUGCACACCGGCUUAGGAGCCGGCAUCGUCCUCACCUCUCCCAAAGGCGACAAACUCAGAUACACAUUGCAAAUCCAUUUUGCCGCCUCCAACAAUGUGGCCGAGUACGAGGCGCUUAUACACGGGCUCCGGCUGGCCAAGGAACUCGGCAUCCGCCGGAUCCUGUGCUAUGGCGACUCAGACUUGGUGGUCCAGCAAUCAUCCGGCGACUGGGACGCCAAGGACACAAACAUGGCAAACUACCGCUUCUUCGUUCAGCAAAUCAGUGGAUACUUUGAGGGGUGCGAGUUCCUCCAUGCGCCAUGGGCGAACAACGAGCAAGCAGAUGCCCUGGCAUGAAUAGGCUAAACCCGGCAAGCUAUACCAACCGGCGUCGCCCUCCAACGCCUCCUCAAGCCGUCUGUCAAGCCAUCUCCGGAAUCCAGUGCCAUCUUCGUGCCGCCUGACCCCGACGCAGUCGGCUCCGACUUCGGGAACAAAGAAGGCAGCUCGGGGACUUCGGCAGUCGGCUCGGGGACUUCGGCAGCCUGCUCGGGGACUGCCCUAGUCGAACCCGGCCCAGGGACUGCUGUAACCGGCCUGGGGACUGCACCGACAAUGCAAGCGGUGACCGACUCCAACUCUUCACAGCCCAACCCACUCGCCCUAGUUGCAGUAGCCGUUUUGGCGAUAGAAGAAGUCACAGCUCCAUCAUGGGCCCAGGCCAUCCUCCACUUCCUGAUAAACGGAGAACUGCAGACUAACGAGAUCUCGGCAAGACAAGUCCAACGCCGAGCCGGAGCAUACACAAUAAUGAACUGAGAGCUUGUUAGGCGUAGCAUUACUGGAGUCUUUUCAGCGCUGCGUCGAGCCAGAGAAGGGCAUAGUAAUCCUCGAAGACAUCCACCAGGGCGAGUGCGGCCACCACGCCGCCUCAAGGGCACUCGUCGCCAAAGCUUUCCACCAUGGAUUCUUCUAGCCGACCGCUUUGGAGGACGGGAAGGAGUUAGUCAAACACUGCAAAGGGUGCCAAAUCUUCGGCUGCAAGCAGCACCUACCGGCUUCUGCACUCAAGACCAUCCCCCUCAGCUGGCCAUUUGUCGUCUGGGGACUGGACAUGGUGGGCCCAUUCAAGACGGCGUGCCGUGGCAUGACACAUCUGCUUGUCACCGUGGACAAAUUUACCAAGUGGAUUGAAGCAAAGCCGAUCAAGAAACUGAAUGGGCCACCUGCCGUAACAUUCAUCGCAGACAUUACAACCCGGUACGGAGUACCACAUAGCAUCAUCACUAACAAUGGCACAAAUUUUGCCAAGGGAGCACUGGCACAUUUCUGCACGAUGCAGGGCUUCCGACUGGACUUAGCGUCCGUUCCCCAUCCGCGGUCAAACAACCAAGUCGAGCGAGCGAACGGCCUCAUCCUCUGCGGCAUCAAGCCCCGACUGGUCGUGCCGCUGGAGCGUUUGGCCGGAUGCUGGCUUGACGAGCUGCCAGCCAUCCUCUGGAGUCUGCGCACUACCCCGAACAAGUCAAUCGGCUUAACCCCUUUCUUCCUUGUAUAUGGUGCCGAGGCUGUCAUACCAACUGACAUCGAGUUCGACUCACCUCGGGUCACCAUGUACACGGAGGCGGAGGCCAAGGAAGCACGAGAAGACAGCGUCGACUUGCUGGAAGAAAGCCGGCUAUUAGCCCUCAGCCGGUCCGCCAUCUACCAGCAGGGUCUACGCCGUUACCACAGCCGGAAGGUCAAGCCAAGAUCCUUCCAAGAGGGUGAUCUUGUGCUCCGGUUGAUCCAGCAAACAGCCGGCCAGCACAAGCUCUCGGCCCCUUGGGAAGGCCCCUUCGUAAUCAGUCGAGCUCUAGGCAACGACUCCUACUACCUGAUUGGCACAGAAGCCGAAGGCACGCAAGAGAGAUGAUUCCGGCAAGGAGUCGGAGCGACCAUGGAAUGCCAAUCUUCUCCGAAGAUUUUACAGUUAAAAUGCAAUAUGUACCACGCUACCUUUUGUAUUAAAGUACGAGACAACGGGCCCCCCGAGGAGUACUCAGGGACUACCCUCUUUUAUCUAUGAAUGAUGGGUAUCAUACCCAUGGUUAUGCCACUACAUUCACCUUUUUCGUCUGGCACCGGGUUCGACUAGUCGGCUCGGGGACUUGUCGCCUUGAGUUAUGUCCAAGUUCUACCUGCAGUCAGACAAGUAAUGUGCCGGCACCCAAGCCCUCUCUUGUGAAAGUCACGGCUCGAAGAAUCGGUUGUCCGACUGGCAAGAGCCAAAGGCGGAAAAGGAGGCCCACGUGAAAAACGGCUAAGGACUAACGAACUUACAUAACACAAGCCGGCUCCCCCCCCCCCCGCCGCCAACUAGCUGUCGAAGCAGCCGGCUGGCCGGCUUCCCUUCUUACUCUGCUACAAUCUAAGAAGGCUCGAGUACUUGCCCUCCCAGACGGCUAAUUCCUUACCCGGCCACAGACUGCAGAGCAGCUGUCCGGCUGGGAAGGCGGCGACUAAGGGAGGGCGGCAAAGGAAAACGGCCAAAAGAUAAAGGCAAGUAGGAACGGAAGCCAAACACAUGCAUAAUUAUAUUUACACAAAAGGCCGUCGAAGCGCCGGCAUUCGAUAAAGUUUGAAUACACCCCAAGUGGGUGGAACUGCACAAAAGUUAAUAAAAGUUGUUCAAGGAGUAAAAAGCAGGAAAGUAAAGAUGGCGAGUCAGGCCAAGGGAGCAACUGGGGCGUCGGGCAGGUCGGUGGAGACGGCGGUGUCGGCUGGAGGAGAGGCCGGCUGGCGAGUCUCGGCUUGAUCGUCACCUACGGCAGGCGGUGCAUUCGCACGCGCCUCGUUGCCGGAGUGUCAGGACCCCGACUCGAUGUCACAUCGAUCUAGCUUGUAACACCUCAUAUCACUUUGCGGCCUCACGCACGGUAUCCCCACGGGUGUCACCUUACCUUUUCUCGGGACCGUUUGCGCCUUUUGGCUCACGUAUAUGAUAGUGUUGCUAGCAUCCAUAUGAUAAGGAGCCCGGGCUGACAUGACUAGUUGUAAACCCAAAGUGGCACAGACUUACAGGGACAGGCAUCCAUGACCCAGCUUCGAACGUGUCGGUCAUCAGCAAGUGGGUCCGGGCUGUAGCACUGGGCUAGCAGGACUCCGGUAAACCGGGCUGUAGCGGGCUAACAGGACUCCGGUACUCAAUGCGUGACAUUUCCCUGAAGGGACAGACACAGGAACGAAGAAGGACACAUGCCGGCCAGCCUAAGUGUUCCAGAGCAGUAGCAAGCUACCAUGGCUCAGCGGUAACACUAGGAGACAUUUCCCGGUAAGAGAGGCUACUAAAGAUAAACAACUAGAUAGUCAGAUCCCACACAUACCAAGCAUUUCAAUAACAUACACACAAUAUGCUCGAUAUGUGCAAAUAAAACAUGGCAUCACAACAUGACUCUACGACACAAGUACUUUAUUUAAGGCUCAGAGAGCCAUACAUGACAUACACAUAGGUACGGGUCACACGACCCAGCAUUCAAGUCAUACAGUCAUACAAACCAGCAGCGGAAGUAACUUGUCUGAGUACAGACAACUAGUAAAAUAAAAGAGGCUUGGAAAGCCUAGCUAUACUACGUGGUCCUUCACAAACUCAGGAUCACCACCUGGGCCUUAGCCUACUCAUCGAUGUCAACGUCUACGAAGAACCCAUCAGAAGGGGUUGCAGCGUCUUCUGUAAAAAUGUAGAUUAUAGCAACAUGAGUACAAAGGUACUCAGCAAGACUUACAUCAGAUCCUACAUACAUGCACAUUAUCAAGAAGGGUUGGUGGAGUUGUUGCAGCAAGCCAGCUUUGACUCUUGGCUAGACUAUCCUACGAGACUCCAACUUGAAAUGGUUUUGCGUACACGAGUCAAUACACUACCGAGGAUCCACCUCCGUCUUCCUACGGAAGAGCCAUCCUCAGCACUCACACUUAUCUUGAGGCUUUUAGUAGUUUCCAUUUACUUGUCUAUAAACUGUAUAGGCAACCAAGUAGUCCUUUACUGCGGACGCGGCUAUUCGAAUAGAUCAUGUUAACCCUGCAGGGGUGUACUUCUUCAUACACGCUCUCACCACUUACCGCCGUUUACACGACUUGUACUCGGCAACCUUCAAGCGGAAGCCCAAUGUGGGUGUCGGCCACGACCUACCUAAUCACCUAAGCCUCUAGUCCAGGUUUAUCGCCUAUUCGGGUUCCAUCCAUGAGGAGAUCCGGCCGAGGUUUCGCUCACAGCCCCAGACGAUGUGAAAAGGGUUCCGAGAUACCUAACGGGUAUUCGGUACACCGUGCCACGUACCUACCGCAUCACAGCCCACCCCUACAGUCAGCGCUAUCCACGGCCUCCAGUAUACUACAAACACCAGAAACUACUUGCAACUCCUGGACAGAGAACUAGGGUGAAUAAGAAGUCGAGAGGGUCCAUUGGUUUCGGGCCCAAUGCAUGGUAGUAGCUGAAUCUUAAAUCACACAUACAGAUCUCAGUGCUUAAGGUCGGCUUCAAUGAAACAACCCACCAUGUACUCCUACAUGGCCUCUCAUCGAUACCUUUACCAAAUCGUGUUCACCACACCACUCUCAUUACCGACAUAAUCAUUUCACUCUAGUCCAUCACCCUGAUGAACCAGACCUGACACGACUCUAAGCAUAGCAGGCAUAGCAAGGUAGGAACAACACAUACAUAUGGCUCAAUCAACUCCUACGCAUGCUAGUGGGUUUCAUCUAGUUACUGUGGCAAUGACAGGUCAUGCAGAGGAAAUGGGUUCAACUACCAUAACACACAGCAGUUUGAAACGCGUUGUCUUAAUGCAGUAAAAGAGAGCAGGAGCGAGAACAUGGGAUUGUAUCGAUACGAUCAAAUGGUUGGUUGCUUGCCUGAUGGUUCGAUGCACAGAUACGGUUCUUCGUUAGGGUAAUCACGGUACUCCUCGGAGGCAGAACCUGCCGCAAAGAACACCGAUACACAACUAUCACCAAACAAUGUGCAACAAUAUGAUGCAUGCAUGAAACAUGGCAAUAUGAGUGUGUUGGGCUAAUGCAACUAAGACCAGAAGGGUUUGAACCAAUUUGAAUCAAAGAUUCAAAUUUCAAACUCAUACAUGGCCCUUUAAAGUGUUUUUCCUUGUUCUGCAUUAAACAUCAAGUUAACUUGUUUAAUCAUGCAUGAAAAUAGUACAGAUGGAUAGAUUGGAUUUUUCUGAUCAUUUUUCAUAUAUAACUUGUCUGAUUUGGAGUUACAGAUUAAAAGUUAUGAAUUUUUGAAGUUUAAACUAUAUUCUGGAAUUUCCUAUAUUAGAUUAAAUCCAGAAAAUCAAUUUCUGCGUCAGCCUGACGUCAGUGUGACGUCAGCAGGUCAACGGGACACGUCCGGGUCAAACCUGAUAGUGGGUCCCGCAUGUCAGUGUGAUUAAUUAAACUGAAAUUAAUUUAAACUAAUCCUAAUUAGUUAACAGGGCUGGGCCCCACCUGUCAUUGACUCAGGAGAGUCAACCAGGGCCCACCCGUGGUCAAACCCCGGUCAGCUGCACCGGCGUUUAGCCGCCGGCGAGCCCGACGCGGCGGCGGAAGUGGUUUUUGCCGUUCCGGCAACCAAACGAGCCGUGGAGGCCACCGGAGAGGAGCUGAGGACGAACCGCAGCUCUUGGUGGAGUCCGUUGGGGUCGGGGUGGCCGGAGUUGGCGCCGGCGACGACUUUGGUGGCCACCGGAGUUCGGCCGAAGUUGAACUUGUCGCUAGGGGGGUCGGUGAGGUGCGGGGAGUAGCUAGUUAGGUGCUACGUGACGCGGUGAGCAUGAUGGACACCGUGGAGUGGUCGGAGGGUGACCGGGAGCACGUCGGUGACGAGCUCCGCGGCGGUGGGUGCGGUUGAGCUCCGGGAGGUCGCUACACAGCUCGGGAGCAAGAAGAGAAGGGAGGGGAAGAUGGCUAAGCUCACGGGGAGUUCGACGAAGCCCUUGGUGCGGCCGGGGACGGACCGGAGCGACGACGGCGUUGAAGGGGAUCUCCGGCGACGGCGGUUCGGGCGAGGUCGUUGCGGUGGACUCGGGCGUUGCGAGCGCUCGGGGCUCGGCUUGCUCGAUGAAGUGGACAGCGGCGGAGCUCCUGGACGCGACGAGAGGACGCACGGGCGGCGCGGAGCGCGGCUACGACGUAGGCACGGCGGCGGUAGCGUCGGCCAUGGCUGGGGGGCGCGAGGGGGAGGAGUUGGAGAGGAGAGGGGGUGUCUGGGGGGGUUCGGGGAAGAGAGGGGGAGCGAUCCACGACGUCACCGGGCGAGGGGAGCGGCGAGGCGGCGAGCAGGUGCAUGGCGCGCGUUGUGGUCGCCGUCGGGCACCUGCCUGCCUGCCUGGCUGGCAAGCAGCUCGCUGGAGCGGCGCUGGGCUGGGCCGGCAGGUGGGCCGGGUGCUGGCGCCAGGUAAGUUUUUCUAUUUUUUUCUGUUUUCUGAUUUCUAUUUUUUAAUACUUCUGCAACUUUGUUGAUUUAUUAAAAAUACUUAGGCAACUCCUAAAAUCACCAAACUACUCCUGGUCCAUAGUUGGAUUAUUUCCAACAUGAAACAUUUUAGUUUGGAGAUAUUUGGGCAUAUGAAUAUUUUAUAUAAUUUUAAAUGCCAAAAUUCAAAUAUCUAUGAUUUAAUUCAAAGACCCUAGGAUGACCUAGGAAAAUGUGCAUCACUUUUGGCAGGGGUUCUGAACCAGGACAAAAAUGAUGGGCAUUUUAGAAGGGCAUUUCAGGUUCAUUGAAAAAGCUUUUAGUAAACCCUAGUUGGUUUCAGAGGGGGCUGGGGGUUCUGUCAUCCCCAUUUCAGGUUUCUGAUGAAAGAAUAAACAUGAUGCAACCCUCUAAUGCAUGAACUAGCUAGGGUGUGACAACUCACCCCCACUCAAAAGAAUCUCGUCCCGAGAUUUGGGUUCCUCCGGGAAGAAGGCGGGAUACUCGAGUUGAAGACGAUCCUCCCUUUCCCAAGUUGCUUCAUCCUCAGAAUGGUGCGACCAUUGAACUUUGAGAAACUUGAUAUUAUGAUGUCGAGUGGUAUGCUCGGCCUGAUCGAGGAUACGAAUGGGGUACUCUCGAUACGUGAGAUUAUCUUGGAGAUCAAGCGUUUCGUGGUCCACUCCACGGAUAGGAUCCGAGAAGCAACGCCUGAGUUGAGAAACGUGGAAGACAUCAUGGACUCUGGAGAGAUGCGGAGGUAGUUCCAACUGGUAGGGAACUUCUCCUCGUUUAGCGAGAAUACGAAAAGGUCCAAUGUAACAGGGAGCCAAUUUGCCUUUGAUACCGAAACGAUGGGUUCCCUUCAGAGGAGUAACCCGAAGGUAAGCCUUCUCGUCAACCUCGAAAGUCAUAGCCUUAUGUUUUCGGUCAUAUUGACUCUUUUGACAAGAUUGGGCUGUUUUCAACUUUUCACGAACGAUGCGAACUUGCUCUUCUGCUUCCUGAAUCAUAUCCGGGCCAAAGAAUUGUCUUUCCCCAGUUUCUGACCAGUUAAGGGGUGUUCGACACCGUCGUCCAUAGAGAACUUCAAAAGGGGCUUUACCCAAGCUAGAUUGAUAGCUGUUGUUGUAAGCGAAUUCGGCAAAUGGAAGGCACUUCUCCCAAUCUCCUCCGAAUGAGAUAACAGAGGCUCGAAGCAUGUCUUCUAGGAUCUGGUUGACGCGUUCUACUUGACCACUCGAUUGAGGGUGAAAGGCGGUGCUAAAGGAAAGGCGGGUUCCCAUAGCAUUUUGGAAACUUUCCCAAAAUCGAGAGGUGAAAAGACUUCCUCGAUCCGAGUUAAUUUCCAAAGGAACACCAUGGAGAGACACUAUUCGGGAGAUGUAUAAAUCUGCCAAUUGACUAGCAGUUAUACUGUCACGAACAGGUAAGAAAUGGGCCACUUUGGAGAGACGAUCGACAACGACGAAGAUAGCAUUAUUCCCUCUCUUGGUCCUGGGAAAACCGGUAAUGAAAUCCAUACCAAUUUUAUCCCAUUUCCCAUCAGGAAUAGCUAAGGGUUGAAGGGUGCCAGCAGGCCGUUGAUGCUCUGCUUUUACACGACGGCAGACGUCGCAAUUAGCAAUAUACUGAGCAAUUUCUCUCUUCAUCCUAGUCCACCAGAACCUCUGGCGUAGGUCCUGAUACAUCUUAGUACUACCGGGAUGAAUGGUGAGAGGAGAUUCAUGAGCUUCCUUAAGGAUCAAUCGUCUCAGGUUUCGCACCUUGGGAACCACUAGUCGAUUCCCGAAGUAUACGACCCCUUGAUCAUUAAUGGAGAAACAAUUCGCAACUCCUUUCUUGAUGUUUCUCUUGAUGCGGGAAAUUCCCGGAUCUACCUUCUGUGCUUUGAUGAUCUGAUCCGUAAGGGUAGGUUUAGCCACCAAGGUGGAAAGAAAACCUUUUGGAACAAUGUGAAGGUUAAGCUUCCGAAAUUCCUCAUGGAGAAGCGGUUGACUUUGUUGUAACAUCAGGUUGUUACAAUAAGAUUUACGACUUAGCGCAUCAGCCAUGACGUUGGCUUUCCCUGGGGUGUAAGUUAUUCCUAAGUCGAAAUCUGUGAUCAACUCAACCCAACGUCUUUGCCUGAGAUUCAAAUCCGGUUGGGUGAAGAUAUACUUCAGACUUUGGUGAUCAGUGAAUAUUUCGCAACGAUUACCGAGGAGGUAAUGUCGCCAGGUCUUAAGUGCAUAGACUACGGCUGCAAGCUCUAGAUCAUGAGUAGGAUAAUUCUCCUCAUGUGGGUGCAAUUGCCGUGAAGCGUAAGCAAUUACGUGUCGAUCUUGCAUGAGAAUGCAACCUAGUCCUUGUCGCGAGGCGUCGCAGUAGAUAACAAAGUCCUUAGAGAAGUCUGGCGGUACCAGUAUGGGAGCAGAAGUCAGGCGUCUUUUCAGUUCCUGAAAGCUGUGCUCACAUAUUGGAGUCCAUUCGAACUUUUUAUCUUUCUUGAGGAGUUCGGUUAGAGGUUUAGCAACUUUGGAGAACUUCUCGACAAAGCGACGACAAUAGCUCGCUAAGCCCAGAAAACUCCGAACUUGCUUGACCGAUUCAGGUGGAGUCCAAUUAAGGACGGCUUGAACUCGCUCAGGGUUAUCAGCAAUACCUUUACCAGAUAUUACAUGACCCAGAUAGGUCACCUCUGACAACCAGAAUUCACAUUUAGAAAAUUUGGCAUAAAGGCGAUGCUCUCGAAGUUUCUUCAACACUAGCCUUAGAUGUUCGGCAUGUUCUUCCUCGCUCUUGGAGUAGAUGAGUAUAUCAUCGAGGUAAACCACGACGAAUUUAUCCAAAUACUCCAUGAAGAUCGAGUUCAUUAACCGAGAAAAGGUGGCUGGAGCGUUGGUUAAACCGAAAGACAUGACGGUGUACUCGUAUUGACCAUAACGAGUGACAAAGGCCGUUUUAGGAAUGUACCCGUUCCUGAUUUUGAUUUGAUGGUAGCCCAACCUCAAAUCCAUUUUGGAGAAGACUGACGAUCCAGCGAGCUGAUCAUACAGGUCGUUGAUCCUGGGGAGCGGAUAUUUGUUCUUGAUUGUGGUCGAUACUCUACAACCAUCCGGUCCGUACCAUCCUUCUUCUUGGCGAAGAGGACGGGGCAAGCCCACGGAGAUGAACUAGGUCGGAUGAAACCCUUUUUCAAGGACUCAUCGAGUUGUUUCUUAAGCUCGGCUAGUUCUAGUGGUGCCAUCUUAUAAGGUCUUCUAGCAAUCGGGACGGUUCCUGGAAUGAGGUCUAUUACGAACUCCACAUCCCUGUCAGGUGGAACACCUGGCAAUUCCUCUGGGAAGACAUCCGGGAAGUCACGGACUACCGGAACGUCCUCAAGGUCUGGCAAAGGGCUGGCGUUAAGAGAAUAUAACUGUCGCUUGGCUAUUCGGGUCAAGACAUUGACUAUCUUCCCCGAAGGAUGGGUGAGUUGAACAGUCCUAGAGAAGCAAUCAAUUUGGGCAUGAUGGGCUGACAUCCAGUCCAUACCCAAGAUGAUAUUAAUAUCUGAAGAUUUAAGAGCUAUCAAAGAUGCAAGGAAAACAAGUCUGUCGACUUGGAUUUCAUUUCCAUGACUUACCCUAGAGGUUUGCCAUUUGGAUCCCGGAGUUUGAAUUACCAUAGAGGAUGGCAUGUCACAGAAUGCGGUGUUAUGCAAGCGAUCAUAGUUCUCGGAUAUGAAUGAAUGAGAUGCUCCUGUAUCGAAAAGAACAGAUGCCGGGUGGCAAUUAACAAGGAGCUUACCGAGAACAACGUUGGGAUCCUCUUGAGCUUCUUUGGCAGAGAUACAGUUGACAUGGCCACGUGUAGCGGUGGCCGGCUUGGCGUGGAACACUUUACCUGUCGGCUUGCCUCGGCCAACAGCUUUAGCAGAUUGGUAGGGGUUGGUUUGGGGACACUCGCACAUAUAGUGGCCAGAUUCCCCACACUUAAAGCAAGUCACGGAACUGGUACGUGGAGGAGCAUUGUUGGUUGGACCACCAUAGGGCUUGGCUGGUGCAGACUGUUGAACGGGGCGAGGCGCCUGAAAGGAUGGCCUCGGUGUGAACCUGGGUGGCAGGGCAGUGUUAGGCACCCACACGCGGCGCUUCUGAGGGCCAGCACCGGAUGAGGAACCCACGUCACGGCCAUGCUUGCAUGUUGCGUCAUAAUCAGACUGACCAGUCUCAGCACUGAUGGCCUUGUUAACAAGCUUCUGAAAAGAUGUGCACUCAUGCAGACGGAGGUCGCGGCGAAGCUCAGGACUAAGCCCCUUACGGAACCUUGCUUGCUUCUUGGCAUCAGUAGAAACUUCCUUAGUGGCAUAUCGUGCGAGGUUACCGAACUCCCUGCUGUAAGCAUCCACAGAGAGUCGGCCCUGAGUGAAACUGCAAAAUUCCUCACGUUUACGGUCCAUGAGACCCUCCGGAAUGUGAUGUUUGCGGAAAGCCUCGCUGAAUUCAGCCCAAGUAGUGACAUGGCCUGCUGGGCGCAUAGCUCCAUAAUUCUCCCACCAUAGACUGGCGGGGCCUUCAAGAUGAUAUGCAGCAAAGGUGACCUUGUCAGCCUCAGCUACCAGCGCGGAGUGGUGGAACGUGGGUGGAUGUAACUUGAUGAAAUCACUGAGUGACACCACGUUAGUCCUCUGAUGGUGUGCUGUGUUCUGUUCAAUACGCUCCAACAAACGGUUGGUCUCCCGCUUGUUUCUCUCGGCUUCCAGCAUAACCUCGGCUAGGGAAGGAGGAUGAGGCAGAUUUGCAUUCCUGACUUCACUGCCUUCGGCCUGCUCUUGAGGAGCAGGGUUAUUGCGCGUGUUGACCAUCCUAGGUAAACAAGACAAUGAUUUAGUCAGAAUGAUAAGAUUCCGACAUAGAAUACAGAAUGUAAGGAGUAACUCGGAAUGCAAGAUGAUCAUCCGUAUGACAUGGUAGAUACAGAAACUGCUUCUUUAUUCCAUCGUCAUACACACCAUACAAGGUUUAGUACAAGACCAAACAAGGUACUAUUACGGUGAAAAGAGGAUUACAUCUCAUCGGAGGCAUCCCAAGCUCCUAUACAUUAUUUUUCUACACCUCCGGAAGACGGUACAAACUAGGUCAUAUCCCACGAGUCACGCAGGACGAUAGAUGACACAGCUAGUAGGAACUAGUGAUACUACCACUAACUCAGACCGAUCCGUAGUAGUCCUCGUAGAAGUCACCUCCAUAGCCUGGAAGCUCAACAUGAUCAUCCGGGAACAGACGAUCUCGCGGAGCUUGUGGACCAUAGGGACUAGGAUGAGGUCUUGGACCAACAGACGGUGGCCUGCGGGGACCGCGAGGUGGGGUGAUGCCUCCUACAGCACGCCAACCCAUCACGUCUGGCAAAGCAGAUCUCACAGGAUAGAGAUCGCGCAUAUCCGAAUAUCCAGCUUGCACCGCCGGUGCAAACCGAGUCAAUGUGGCCCAAUGGUCAGCACUGGUAUUGAAGAGCUCUAGCCUCAAGGCCCGGUUUUCACGGUCCUUAUCCUCGAGCAUCUCAGCAGUGGUGCGAGUCCAUGAAUCCUCCUGAGUGGGGUCAGCAUAGAUAGCCUGGAGAUGCCCUUGUGCUCCCGGAAGUGAUCCUGGCAUAUAUCGGAAAUCAGAGUCCCGAAAUAGACCAGACCUGACCCGCAUGAUGGUCAUCAUAGAGUAGGCGGCGUCCUGCACAGCCAUCUCAAUAGUAACCCCGAGUCCAUAGGAGCAGUGAAGGGGCUCGGUGGAUCCAGGAUAAGAUGGAAAUAUCCUGACGGUGCAGAGAUACUGGCUUUGAUUAAAAUCUCGAAAUUGCUCUUCGACCAUGUACUCGGGAUACCAACGGUAUCCAGCCUCAGUCAUUACCCUGACCAACAUGGCGGUAUGGCCGGGUACAUCUAGGCAUCGAGUCAGGUGAACCACUUGAUUGAGGUCGCGAGUGGCCAUUUGAAAGCACAACCAUAAUGCAAAGGCAUUAGAAUUUCUAGCAAAAUUUCGGCAGCAUAACAGCUGUAAUUGCUCAAGAAGGAUUUUGAGACAUUUGUCAAAGGAUUUCAUACACACUCAACAACAUCAUAUCAAGUUCUGAGUCCAUCCUAGCAACAUAAUGUGGUAGUAGAACUGAACUAGGCUUGUAUCCAUCAAACCUAUAAGGUACUAUUGAUUAGUAACACGUGAUCCUGAUAGAGAGAAUAGAUCCUAAUUCCUUAACCCCCGGUGGAAGAAUAGACUGACUCAGAUCAGAAUGUCAUAAGAUAAAGGAGUAAAAAGAGCCUUACGUUCCAACCCACAAACAAUUCCCCUACAUAUAACUAAAGAAUUUCUAGACUCGACAUCGACCAGUUUGGCUUGGAGAACCUACAGGCAGUCCAGCUCUGAUGCCAACGCUGUCAGGACCCCGACUCGAUGUCACAUCGAUCUAGCUUGUAACACCUCAUAUCACUUUGCGGCCUCAUGCACGGUAUCCCCACGGGUGUCGCCUUACCUUUUCCCGGGACCGUUUGCGCCUUUUGGCUCACGUAUAUGAUAGUGUCGCUAGCAUCCAUAUGAUAAGGAGCCCGGGCUAACAUGACUAGUUGUAAACCCAAAGUGGCACAGACUUACAGGGACAGGCAUCCAUGACCCAGCUUCGAACGUGUCGGUCAUCAGCAAGUGGGUCCGGGCUGUAGCACUGGGCUAGCAGGACUCCGGUAAACCGGGCUGUAGCGGGCUAACAGGACUCCGGUACUCAAUGCGUGACAUUUCCCCGAAGGGACAGACACAGGAACGAAGAAGGACACAUGCCGACCAGCCUAAGUGUUCCAGAGCAGUAGCAAGCUACCAUGGCUCAGCGGUAACACUAGGAGACAUUUCCCGGUAAGAGAGGCUACUAAAGAUAAACAACUAGAUAGUCAGAUCCCACACAUACCAAGCAUUUCAAUAACAUACACACAAUAUGCUCGAUAUGUGCAAAUACAACAUGGCAUCACAACAUGACUCUACGACACAAGUACUUUAUUUAAGGCUCAGAGAGCCAUACAUAACAUACACAUAGGUACGGGUCACACGACCCAGCAUUCAAGUCAUACAGUCAUACAAACCAGCAGCGGAAGUAACUUGUCUGAGUACAGACAACUAGUAAAAUAAAAGAGGCUUGGAAAGCCUAGCUAUACUACGUGGUCCUUCACAAGCUCAGGAUCACCACCUGGGCCUUAGCCUACUCAUCGAUGUCAACGUCUACGAAGAACCCAUCAGAAGGGGUUGCAGCGUCUUCUGUAAAAAUGUAGAUUAUAGCAACAUGAGUACAAAGGUAGUCAGCAAGACUUACAUAAGAUCCUACAUACAUGCACAUUAUCAAGAAGGGUUGGUGGAGUUGUUGCAGCAAGCCAGCUUUGACUCUUGGCUAGACUAUCCUACGAGACUCCAACUUGAAAUGGUUUUGCGUACACGAGUCCACUACUCACCACUUCAAUACACUACCGAGGAUCCACCUCCGUCUUCCUACGGAAGAACCAUCCUCGGCACUCACACUUAUCUUGAGGCUUUUAGUAGUUUCCAUUUACUUGUCUAUGAACUGUAUAGGCAACCAAGUAGUCCUUUACCGCGGACGCGGCUAUUCGAAUAGAUCAUGUUAACCCUGCAGGGGUGUACUUCUUCAUACACGCUCUCACCACUUACCGUCGUUUACACGACAUGUACUCGGCAACCUUCAAGCGGAAGCCCAACGUGGGUGUCGGCCACGACCUACCUAAUCACCUAAGCCUCUAGUCCAGGUUUAUCGCCUAUUCGGGUUCCAUCCAUGAGGAGAUCCGGCCGAGGUUUCGCUCAUAGCCCCAAACGAUGUGAACAGGGUUCCUGAGAUACCUAACGGGUAUUCGGUACACCGUGCCACAUACCUACCGCAUCGCAGCCCACCCCUACGGUCAGCGCUGUCCACGGCCUCCAGUAUACUACAAACACCAGAAACUACUUGCAACUCCUGGACAGAGAACUAGGGUGAAUAAGAAGUCGAGAGGGUCCAUUGGUUUCGGGCCCAAUGCAUGGUAGUAGCUGAAUCUUAAAUCACACAUACAGAUCUCAGUGCUUAAGGUCGGCUUCAAUGAAACUACCCACCAUGUACUCCUACAUGGCCUCUCAUCGAUACCUUUACCAAAUCGUGUUCACCACACCACUCUCAUUACCGACAUAAUCAUUUCACUCUAAUCCAUCACCCCGAUGAACCAGACCUGGCACGACUCUAAGCAUAGCAGGCAUAGCAAGGUAGGAACAACACAUACAUAUGGCUCAAUCAACUCCUACACAUGCUAGUGGGUUUCAUCUAGUUACUGUGGCAAUGACAGGUCAUGCAGAGGAAAUGGGUUCAACUACCGUAACACACAGCAGUUUGAAACGCGUUGUCUUAAUGCAGUAAAAGAGAGCAGGAGCGAGAACAUGGGAUUGUAUCGAUACGAUCAAAUGGUUGGUUACUUGCCUGAUGGUUCGAUGCACUGAUACGGUUCUUCGUUAGGGUAAUCACGGUACUCCUCGGAGGCAGAACCUGCCGCAAAGAACACCGAUACACAACUAUCACAAACAAUGUGCAACAAUAUGAUGCAUGCAUGAAACAUGGCAAUAUGAGUGUGUUGGGCUAAUGCAACUAAGACCAGAAGGGUUUGAACCAAUUUGAAUCAAAGAUUCAAAUUUCAAACUCAUACAUGGCCCUUUAAAGUGUUUUUCCUUGUUCUGCAUUAAACAUCAAGUUAACUUGUUUAAUCAUGCAUGAAAAUAGUACAGAUGGAUAGAUUGGAUUUUUCUGAUCAUUUUUCAUAUAUAACUUGUCUGAUUUGGAGUUACAGAUUAGAAGUUAUGAAUUUUUGAAGUUUAAACUAUAUUCUGGAAUUUCCUAUAUUAGAUUAAAUCCAGAAAAUCAAUUUCUGCGUCAGCCUGACAUCAGUGUGACGUCAGCAGGUCAACGGGACACGUCCGGGUCAAACCUGACAGUGGGUCCCGCGUGUCAGUGUGAUUAAUUAAACUAAAAUUAAUUUAAACUAAUCCUAAUUAGUUAACAGGGCUGGGCCCCACCUGUCAUUGACUCAGGAGAGUCAACCAGGGCCCACCCGUGGUCAAACCCGGGUCGGCUGCACCAGCGUUUAGCCGCCGGCGAGCCCGACGCGGCGGCGGAAGUGGUUUUUGCCGUUCCGGCAACCAAACGAGCCGCGGAGGCCACCGGAGAGGAGCUGAGGACGAACCGCAGCUCUUGGUGGAGUCCGUUGGGGUUGGGGUGGCCGGAGUUGGCGCCGGCGACGACUUUGGCGGCCACCGGAGUUCGGCCGAAGUCGAACUUGUCGCUAGGGGGGUCGGUGAGGUGCGGGGAGUAGCUAGUUAGGUGCUACGUGAUGCGGUGAGCAUGAUGGACACCGUGGAGUGGUCGGAGGGUGACCGGGAGCACGUCGGCGACGAGCUCCGCGGCGGUGGGUGCGGUUGAGCUCCGGGAGGUCGCUACACAGCUCGGGAGCAAGAAAAGAAGGGAGGGGAAGAUGGCUAAGCUCACGGGGAGUUCGACGAAGCCCUUGGUGCGGCCGGGGACGGACCGGAGCGACGACGGCGUUGAAGGGGAUCUCCGGCGACGGCGGUUCGGGCGAGGUCGUUGCGGUGGACUCGGGCGUUGCGAGCGCUCGGGGCUUGGCUUGCUCGAUGAAGUGGACAGCGGCGGAGCUCCUGGACGCGACGAGAGGACGCACGGGCGGCGGGGAGCGCGGCUACGACGUAGGCACGGCGGCGGUAGCGUCGGCCAUGGCUGGGGGGCGCAAGGGGGAGGAGCUAGAGAGGAGAGGGGGUGUCUGGGGGGUUCGGGGAAGAGAGGGGGAGCGAUCCACGACGUCACCGGGCGAGGGGAGCGGCGAGGCGGCGAGCAGGUGCGUGGCGCACGCUGUGGUCGCCGUCGGGCACCUGCCUGCCUGCCUGGCCGGCAAGCAGCUCGCUGGAGCGACUCUGGGCUGGGCCGGCAGGUGGGCCGGGUGCUGGCGCCAGGUAAGUUUUUCUAUUUUUUUCUGUUUUCUGAUUUCUGUUUUUUAAUACUUCUGCAACUUUGUUGAUUUAUUAAAAAUACUUAGGCAACUCCUAAAAUCACCAAACUACUCCUGGUCCAUAGUUGGAUUAUUUCCAACAUGAAACAUUUUAGUUUGGAGAUAUUUGGGCAUCUGAAUAUUUUAUAUAAUUUUAAAUGCCCAAUUUCAAAUAUCUAUGAUUUAAUUCAAAGACCCUAGGAUGACCUAGGAAAAUGUGCAUCACUUUUGGCAGGGGUUCUGAACCAGGACAAAAAUGAUGGGCAUUUUAGAAGGGCAUUUCAGGUUCAUUGAAAAAGUUUUUAGUAAACCCUAGUUGGUUUCAGAGGGGGCUGGGGGUUCUCUCAUCCCCAUUUCAGGUUUCUGAUGAAAGAAUAAACAUGAUGCAACACUCUAAUGCAUGAACUAGCUAGGGUGUGACAUGGAGGCACGAUCAGGCUGAGGCUGGCUGGCUGCCUCACCAUCCGGCACAAUGUCUUCGUCGUCUUCCUCCUCCUCCUCUUCGCCCUCGUCGCUGGAGUCGAUCUCCUCCGCCGAGUCUUCACCGUCGGUCGGGUUCAGCCCGAACCAUUCCUCUAGCUGAGCGACGCCGUCUUCGUUUACCUCAGGAGCAAAGGCGCUGGUGUCAGUGAAGUCGGCGAUCGCCGAGGCACGCCGGAUAAUAGCCUGCCGCACCGCCUCCAGCUCCUCGUCAGCCUCCUGCCGCCAGGUGCGCAGCUGGUCCAAGUUCAGCCCAGGAUACCAAGCCCGGACGAAAUCUAGUGCCCGUCGAGCAUCGGACCGAGCUGCUGAAGACUUCCAGGCCUCGAGGCGGCCAUCUUCUACCUCCAGCCAGUCGGCAGUCCGGCUGGGGGUGCAGGCAAUCACCUCACCGGGCCAGAGGGCGGCCAGCACCUGCGCUCCAGCAUGCGAUAUGCCGGCUGGAGGCGGGCUUGGAUCGCCAGAAGCUGCUCUUCAAGCGACCGGUUGGCGUCCGGUGCAUUCUCAACCCCAGCCUGCCGCCGGGCCUCAUGGUGAGCUUCGAUGGCUUGGUUGGCGGCGACAGAGUAGCCGGGAAAGUAUUCUUCACAAAGAAGAAAGAAACAGAACAAAUCAGAAGAUAAACUGGAUUACAAGGACGAGCAAAGAAGUGAAGAAGAAGGCGGCCUACAGUCGAUCGAAUCUUCAACCUGGCCGUAGCCUUUGCUCAGCGCCUGCCUCGCCUUAGCCCAGGUCGCCGCCUCGGUCUCAUACUCGUCUUUGAGGGCGGCUUCGCUAUCCUGCGCCGCCUUCAAGGCCGCCUUGUGGUUCUCCUCCUGAUCGGCCAGUUUCUUGGUCAGGCGAUCACGCUCCUGAACCAAGGCAUUGAGCUCGCCCUCCCGGGUGCGAAGGGUGGUCUGGGCCACGCCUAGCUGCUGCCUCAAGUCGGCAUUGGCUCCUGCCAAUAUGAAGAAGAAGAAAUUAAGAAAGAAGUCGUCAGGAAAGAUCUGACUCGACUGCUCAGCAGUCGGCCCAAAUCUCGGGGAAUACACCCAGUGGGUGUGCUGACGUGCCCCCACAUGAGAUAAAAAGACAAAAGCACUCACGCCGGCUCUCCGUUAGAUCGGCAGCCUUCUGAUUCAUCUCCUGGGCCUGGGAGUUGAAGGUAGCGGCGUGGAGGUUGUGGUAAUCCUGCAAAUAGGACGAAGGUGCAAGCAAGAGCAAAUCAUUAAAUCAAAGUCUUCUGAGAAGUUUCGAGCCGCCUGCUCAGCAGCUGACUUGGAACUCGGGGACUACAUCUAGUGGGUGUGCUGACGUGCCCCCACGGAAGAAAUUAAGAGCAAAAAGACUCACCUGGAUGACCGACCGCGUUGUAAGAAACUCUUGGGUACACAACUUCAGCGCGGUGGCCUGAGCUUGAAGCCGGCUCCGGACAUCCUGUGCUGCCAGAUUCAGCGCGGCUAUUCACAGGUACACAUGUCUGCUGCUGAAUCACUAGGUUCUCAUCAACUUAACUCAUUUGCAGCGUUCCUCGAAGAAAAGUUGCAUACCUCUUCAGAAACUUCAGUUGUUCAUCCUCAGCUGAAGAAAAUGGCUGACAGUAAGAAACCACAGAAGGAAGGAAAGAGGCCUGAGGUUAAUACUGCGUUUGAAAUCCCUGAGGACAUUUAUGCUAGAUACUGCAUUCCUGAUGAGGCCAUGUUUGGCAAGGAGGACAAGAAUCAGCGCAAGGUGCGCAUACAACAUAUUGAGAGGAGAUGGGCACGAGAAUGGAGGGAGUACAUGUAUGUUACUCCCAAGUACAUGAAGAAAUUCACGCUCAACCCUCCAUGCUCAAGACCACCAUUGAGACCUGGCCAACUGGCGGAUCCCACCAGCCUCAAGCGUGGUGAGGACUAUGCUGAUGAAUGGGCAAGGCGCUAGGCCAAACUGACCAAGCAAGCAAAAGAAGAAGUGAGGAAAUUCAAUGAAGAUUCUGCUGCUGCUGCUAACGCUGCUGACGCCUCUGGUAGUAAGCCCAGGAAGGCUAUGCCAAAGAAGCCUGCCCAAAAGUCCAGUGCUUCUCCUUCAAUGCCCUCACGGCCAAGCUCCUCAGAAAUGCCCUCAAGGCCAGUAUCUUCAAAGCCCUCACGGCAAAUUCCUCAGUCUGCUCCUCCUCCUCCUCCAAAGUCCUCAGUUCCUCGGACAAAGUCUACAGCUGCUCUGACCAAAUCUUUGGCACCUGUGCAUCUUGACACGUGCCAAAGAACAACUAGCAUCUCUAUUGCCUCAGGAGCAUCUGCUAGCUCCACUGCUGCACCAAGUUCCUCAGCCGGUCCAUCUCUGCUGAAGAAAAAGGCCACUGCUGGACGAGGCCUUCGCCCAAGUCCUCACAAGAAGCAAGUUGCCCUCCAAAUCCCCUCUGAUGACGAUGAGGCUGAUGAUGAAGAACUUGCUGGAAUCAUCAGGGAUAGGCAAGCCAAGGCCGCUAAAGCCAAAGGUAGCAAUGUGCCACUAAUUCUGGAUCCCAUGUUGAUCCUUGAUUUCAUUGACUUAUGGCACAAGGACCCCACUACACCUUUGCCAGAGAUGAACCUCACUCCUGGUCAAAGUCAUGUUCUGACUCACUUCAUUGAGGAAGAGAAGUGGAAAUAUGAAGAAGGAUGAAGGCUGAAGAAAGUGCAGUACAAGAAACAGCGCUAUGUCAAGGACAAUGUCCUCACGCUUACUCCUGAACAACUCAUUGUUGUACAAGCUGAAAUCAAGAAAUUGAGUGAUGAUUUCAAUUGGUACUAUGCUGAUUGGAAGGGCACCAAGGUGCGUUUCGUCAAUCUGACAAAGAAAUUCACCUCAAGUGCUGCUCCACCUAUGCACGUUGAAGUUACUUAGGCUGAGGCAUCUGCUCAGCCUACUGAAGAACUUGCCAGCACCGCUGAUGACAUUCAGGCUACUGAAGAAAAUGAGAGUGCCAGGGCUGAUGACUCCAUUCCAGCCGCUCAAGAUAUUGCCAGGGCAUCCACUAGUGAUGCGCCUGAGGAAACUGAACAAAUCAGGACAACUGUAUCAGUUGUGCCUGAGGAAAAUGAACCAAAGUCCAAUGCACCUCCUGCACCUACCCCAACUCCAAGCCUUCCAUCUACAUCAGAUGUGAAGAAGACCAAGGCUAUAGAGCGUGCAGCAAUGAAAAAGAGGAAGGGAUCAGCUUCAUCAGAUUCUUCAGCUUCGAAGAAAUGAAGCUUUUGACAAGUUCAGCUGCAAAUCCUAUUCAUGUCGUUCCUGUCUCCUUCAUGCCAUCAAAAGACCUUGUUCCGUUUGGUGAAGACUAUGAGAUUCCUGAGGAAUCCGAUGAAGAAACUCCUUCUGCUGCUUCGACAGAGCAGUUGGAUGAAGAAAUUGAAGUGGAUAGAAUCCCUUCAACCCCAGUCAUCUCCUCACCUAUGCCUUAGUUCACUGCUGAAGAGGCGGGUGUUGAAGAAAUGGAAGAUGAGGAUGUGGACAUCGGAUGUACCACACCAAUACUGAAUGAUGACUUUUGGGAAAGUCAGCACCCCAACUCUUUGUUGUUCACUCCUCUCCAAGCUGUUCCUUAGUCCCCAUCCACUACUGAAGUACAGGUGGGAUGUGCUGAACCUCGUGCGACCCCAUUUGUCCAUGAAGAAAUUCCAGCCACUAGUGCUGAAGAAAAUGUGAAUGAAGAAGUGAUGACCCAGGCUGCAGCUGCAGAAGAAACUGAAAUUCCUCAGCAUGAGGAACCUGAGAUUGCGAUUCCUGAGGUGGUACUGCAGAUCACUGACACCCCUCAACCCAAGCCAAAGAAUCCCAUCUCCAAGAAGCCAAAAUUCAAGGCUGAUGAUUUCUUCGGCGAGCAUGUGUUCUUCAUUGAUUUUAACCCAUAUGACAAUGCUCGUCUUAGAAGGAAGCGCUUCUGGACUGCCAGCUAGGCCAACUUCUAUUCCUCAGUUCUCUUUGACAAGGACAAAGUCUUCGACCACGAGGACAUUCCUCACGUGGACAUGGAAUAUAUGCCUUGCUUCACGCCGGCCCUCAGUAUGCUUCACGAUGCAGGUCUCCUUUACUUUUGCACUGGCAUCAUUGACUGGAAUGAAGAGCUAAUUCUUUAAUUCUAUGCAACACUACAUAUCACUGGUGAAGCACAUGACAUCAACUCCUGGGUGUUGGACUGGAUGACCGAAAACACUCAUUACAAGGCACCAGCCUCUGAAUUGCUUCGUGCCUUGCCAACCAGUCCUCCACCAGAAGGCGCUCGCUGUCUGUAUGAUGAACCUGAACGCACUGACCACUAUAUGCAAGUUCUCAUGAAGUCGCUGAAGCCUGCACAAGCCCAAAGGACCAAAUUCCUCGUGAAGGAUUUGUUGUAUGUACCAAGGACCAUCUAUCGCAUUCUGAUGAAGACUAUCAGUCCAAUCAAAGGUCAUGAUUCAUCAGAUGAAGAAAUUGUGGGGAUGAUGAAGAAUAUGCUCUUCAACAUCAUGCAUGGUAUCCCUAUAAAUUACCAUGAUUUCUUCAUGAGGACUCUAGCGAAUGUUGCACUUUCACCGUUUUAGCUGAAGCCUUAUGCUCCAUGGAUCAUGAGAUUCCUCAGAUCAAGGUCUUCACUCAACUACAAGGCUGAUACUCUUAACCGUGGCAGCUACUUGCCCCCUAUUGAAGUCCUCAAACGGACAUAUUCCUCAUCUGAAAGAAAGGGCAAGGCACCUGCUAUUAUCGAUGAAGGCACUCGUCCAUUGGAUGGUCAGUUCCGCAAAGCUGCAUCUUACUCCACCAAUGAUGACUCUGUCACUCAUGAUACUGCUGUCAAUGCUACCAAGACAAGUCCUCAAGCUACUCCUCCUCGUGUGCUGACUGAUCGUGAACUACUGAUAAGUCUUCACCAGAAGGUGGAUCGAAACCACAAGUGGGUUAAGUGUCAGUUUGUCUCUAUUCUUCACAACAUCACUUCUACACAUAAUGUAGUGAAGAAAAGCCACUACUACCUCCAUGAAGUGUUUGAUCGCGCCUGGGCUAUUCUAUCACAUCUAUAUGGUGAAGAAGAUCUGAAGCAAAUGGGCUUCAAGGAAGACUUUGAUUGGUCUGCACCUCCACCAAAGAGAUUAAAGAAAGUCUAGGUUCCUUCCUUGGUGGCCAGCUCAUAUUCUUCUUCACGCACCACGGACGAGCAUGAAGACUUGGAUGACGCUGCAGCAGGCACUAGAACGACUCAAGACCCUGACAACGCUAGCGCUCCUCCAUCAGCCUGAUAUUCUUCAGGGGCAUUAGUCCUCAGUUUCAACCCUUUUGGUCGUUCGAUGACAAAGGGGGAGAAAUUUGAGUUAGUCUUCAAGCGGGUCUAUCUUAUAUGGGCAUUUUUUUGCUAAGUUACAACUCUCGUUCUUCUGAUGACUUUGCUGGAUCGAGUUGUAAUCUUAAACUCUAUGGUGACCUAAUACUUUUGUUGUGUUCUUUUGCAUGCUUAUUCCUCUUUAAUGUUAAUGCAUGCAUGCUGAAUUACAUCAGUCGCCAUAUUUCAUCAUGCAUUUCAAAUUCUUCAUAUUAUAUAUCAAAUUCGUGCAUGAAUUACAAGAUAUAGGGGGAGAUCUCCAUGAUUAUACUCUUCAAGUGUGCAUUGCUUCAAAAGCAAAUUCCUCACUAUGCACAUCUUCAGGGGGAGUUCUUCUAUAUCUUGCAAUCAAAUUCCUCAAUAUCAGUAUUUACACUUCACAUGUUUAUCCCCGUUGAAAACUUAACCUAUAUUGUCAUCAAUCACCAAAAAGGGGGGAUUGUAAGUGCAUCUAGUGCCCCUUAGUGAUUUUGGUGUAUUGAAGACUUAUAGGUUAAGGGACUGAUGCAUUUGUGAGUGUACACAGGUCUAUAAGUCUAUGAGGAGUUUGAUAUUUACAGAGAAAGUCAACCCCUAAAAAUGAAGUUCUUCGACUGAAGACUUUGGAUUUCUGAAGACUUUGAAAGUGAAGAAAUUGGUGUGACCUUGAAGACUUGGUAAUCAUUCGAGGAACAUGAAGCAUGAAGACUCUUGUUUUUACUGUUUCAUUUUCUCUUUCUUGAGUCAUAGGAAACACCGUACUGUUAAAGGGGGUCGAGGAAAUACUAAGAAAAAAUUUCCAUGUGAUGCUCAACUCAAAAUCCUACACCUACCAAUCCCUUCGAGUGAAUCCAUUGGAAAUCUCGCACAGUUUAGUCAUAUUCUUCAAUGACAGAGACGAAGUUCUUAUGGCCUCUGAGGAAUUUGUUCUGACUGAAGAGUUAGGAAUUCACCAGUGUGGAUUGCCUAUGAAGUGAGGAACAUGAUAGCCCUGAGGAAUCCAAACCUCAAAUAUUUCGACCGUUGCUGUGCUAUGCGCCAGCUGUCCCAAAAUAUCUACCCACCUAACGGUCAUAUCAGACAAGGGCAUUUAUGUCUUAUCAUGUCGGGUUGCUCCCCGGCUAUAAAUAGCCGCCCCCUACAACCACUAGUUGGUUGGCUGCUCUGAGAGAAACUGACACUUGUCAUUUGAGAGCAACCCGUCCUCCGAGGACUUUGAGUGAAAAUCAUCAAGUAAGGAAAUCCCAAACCCAAACCUACAAAACCCCAAAGUGAUUGAGCAUCACUGAAGAGAUUGAUCCUGCAUGGAUCCGACGCUUGUUUCCUUUGAAGACUGUGCUUCUUCCAGACGGUUAGGCGCCAAGGUCUAGAGCAUCCAAGAGGAAUUGUGGAUCGCCGAGUGACCGAGUUUGUGAAGGUUCAGAAGUCACCUGAAGACUUACCACGAAUGAUUGGGCGAGGUUUGUGUGACCUUAGCUCAAGGAGAAUACAGUGAGGACUAUGUGUCCGGGACUGUGUGUCCUCGAGUUUAAAUACUCAGCCGCUCCAACCAGAUGUACAACUGAGAUAGCAGUUGGAUUUGGUCUACCAAAUCAUUAUCUUCACCAAGCUUACUGGUUCUAUUUCCACAACUCUUUAAUUUCCUCAUCUUUGUUCUUGUGUGCUUGUUCAUAUCUGUUUGAAGACAUUGACUGAAGACUUUCUCAAUUUCCUCAGUUCCAUUUCUUCAGUCUGUCCGUCUUCUUCCUUGUGUUAUCCUAUGUUUACGCUUUCUGUACUCUGUGCUUGUCUUCAUUUCAUCAUGAUGAUUAUGCUUGUGUUCUGUUAUGUUCCUUUCUGAGUACUUAUUCCGCUGCAAGUAGUUCUUCAUUUAGGAAUUUCCUCACCAGCAAAUUCCUCAGUGAAGAAUUCAUAAAAAUCGCCUAUUCACCCCCCCCCUCUAGUCAAUAUAAUGCACUUUCAAACUCUUCGGUAGAAACUUUGGGGCACUCUUUGAAGUACUUUGUGUUGGUCGAAUAGAUGAAUCUGAGAUUGUGUGAUGCAUAUCGUAUAAUCAUGCCCACGGAUACUUGAGGUGACAAUGGAGUAUCUAGGUGACAUUAGGGUUUUGGUUGAUUUGUGUCUUAAGGUGUUAUUGUAGUAUGAACUCUUGAAUAGAUUGAUCCGAAAGAAUAACUUUGAGGUGGUUUCAUACCCUACCAUAAUCUCUUUGUUUGUUCUCCGCUAUUAGUUGCUUUGGAGUGACUCUUUGUUGCAUGUUGAGGGAUUGUUAUAUGAUCUAUCUGUGUUAUUAUUGUUGAGAGAACUUGCACUAGUGAAAGUAUGAACCUUAGGCCUUGUUUCCUACCAUUGCAAUACCGUUUACGCUCACUUUUAUCAUUAGUUACCUUGCUGUUUUUAUAAUUUCAGAUUACAAAAACCUUUAUCUACCAUCCAUAUUGCACUUGUAUCACCAUCUCUUUGCCGAACUAGUGCACAUAUACAAUUUACCAUUGUAUUGGGUGUGUUGGGGACACAAGAGACUCUUUGUUAUUUGGUUGCUGGGUUGUUUGAGAGAGACCAUCUUCAUCCUACGCCUCCCACGGAUUGACAAAUCUUAGGUCAUCCACUUGAGGGAAAUUUGCUACUGUCCUACAAGCAUGUGCACUUGCAGCCCAACAACGUCUACAAGAAGAAGGUUGUGUAGUAGACAUCAAGCUCUUUUCUGGCGCCGUUGCCGGGGAGGUGAGUGCUUGAAGGUAUAUCUUUAGAUCUUGGAAUCAAAUCUUUUUGUUUCUUGUUUUAUCACUAGUUUAGUCUAUAAAAGAAAACUACAAAAAAUGGAAUUGAGUUUUGUCUCAUAUGAUUCAUCUUUUUAAUAUCUUUUGUGAGAAUGAUGGUAAGGAAAAUUGUGCUCAAGUGCUAGAAGAAGAAAUCUAUAAACUGUUUGGCACUAAAUUUGAAUUAUGAGCAUGAUUGCAAUGUUAUUAGUAUGAAUUCUUUGAAUACCUAUGAUGCUAAUGAUAUGCAAAGCCACAAGCUUGGGGAUGCUACAUUUAAUGAAGAUGAUAUUUUUAGUUUCCCAAGUUUUGACAUGCAAAGUUGUUAUGCUGAUAGCAUGCCUCUUACCUAUGAUGAUUAUACUGAUGAAAGUGGGUUUGGAAGAGUGUCAACUUUAGGAAGUAGUGAUCCCAAUAUUUUGGAAGAUGUUGAAUCUUAUUGUGAUGAAUAUGAAAGUGGAUUUGGAAGAGUGUCAACUUUAUUUAGUGAUGAUUCCACUAUCUUGGAAGAGGUUUCAAUCGAUUAUGAUGAGAACAAAGUUGCUACUUAUGAUGAUUAUUGUGAUGAAACUUAUGCUAUAAAAAGUAGUGAUGAUUAUAUUUAUAAAACUUGUCAUGAUUAUGAUUACCCUUUUUCUGAACAUUACUCUUUUAAUGUGGAAACAAUUUUUAGUGUUCAAGUCUCUUAUGAUACUCCCACCAUUCCGAAUGAGAAAAAAAUUCUUAUGUGGAGAGUAGUAAAUUUUCUAUGCUAGUAGAUCAUGAAAAGAAUGCUUUAGGUGCUGGUUAUAUUGUUAAAUUCAUUCAUGAUGCUACUGAAAAUUAUUCUGAGGUAGGAACAUAUGCUUGUAGGAAUUGCAAUAAUAUAAAGUUUCCUCUAUAUGUGUUGAAAAUUUUGAAGCUAUGUUUGUUUUACCUUCCUAUGCUAUUUGACUAUUGUUCCCAUAAGUUAUUUGCUAACAAAAUACCUAUGCAUAGUAAGUGGGUUAGACUUAAAUGUGCUAGUCAUAUUCUUCAUGAUGCUCUCUUUAUCUUUCAAUUCUUAUCUUUUAUGUGAGCAUCAUUUCAUCAUGCCUAGCUAGGGGCGUUAAACGAUAGCGCUUGUUGGGAGGCAACCCAAUAUUAUUUUUGUUCCUGUUUAGUAACAAAUAAUUCAUAUAGCCUCUGUUCAGAUGUGGUUUCAUGUUUUAAUUAGUGUUUGUGCCAAGUAGAACCUUUAAGAAGACUUGGGUGAAGUCUUUAUGAUCUUGCUGUAAAAAACAGAAACUUUAGCGCUCACAAGAUUAGUUGCCAGUUUUUACUGGAGAGUGAUUUUAGGUUGACUCUUUUUGAAGAUGAUUAAUAGAAAAAUUACUCAGGUCCACCAAUUUAUUUCAUAAUUUGUGGGUAUCCAUAAGUAUAUGUUUGAUACAGAUUACUACAGACUUUUCUGUUUUUGACAGAUUCUGUUUUCUAUGUGUUGUUUGCUUAUUUUGAUGAAUCUAUGAGUAGUAUCGGAGGGUAUGAACCAUAGAGAAGUUGGAAUACAGUAGGUUUAACACAAAUAUGAAUAAAUAAUGAGUUCAUUACAGUACCUUAAAUUGGUGGUUUGUUUUCUUAUACUAACGGAGCUUACGAGUUUUGUGUUGAGUUUUGUGUGGUUGAAGUUUUCAACUUUUGGGUAAAGAUUCGAUGGACUAUGGAAUAAGGAGUGGCAAGAGCCUAAGCUUGGGGAUUCCCAAGGCAGCCCAAGGUAAUAUUCAAGGACAACCAAAAUCCUAAGCUUGGGGAUGCCCCGGAUGGCAUCCCCUCUUUCGUCUUCGUUCAUCGGUAACUUUACUUGGAGCUAUAUUUUUAUUCACCACAUGAUAUGUGUUUUGCUUGGAGUGUCAUUUUAUUUUAUUAGUAUUUGAUUUCUGUUAUUUAGAAUAAUUUCUUGCAUCUAUAUUUUCAAUAAAAAUGUCAAGGAUAGCCUUUACCAUGCUUAUUUUGCUAGUAUACAUGUUGCUGUUUGAAAACAGAAAGUUUACCGCUGUUGCAAAAAUUCCCUAGAAAAGUUGGAGAGUGAUAUAAUGUUGAAUCUUUUUGCAUAUUGAGAUAUGAUAAAUCUCCUACAGCUUAGUAUUUUUCUUAUAAUUUUUAGAGUUAGGGAAGUAUGAUUAAUCUUGCAUUCUUUACGGACUAUACUGUUUUGGAAGAUUGCUGUUAUGGUUGCAUUGUUUGCAUAUGUUUGCUUGUUUAAUGAUUCUAUUUGAGGAUAGGAGUGUUAAAUAUGCAGAGACAUUUAGUAUGAAAUGUUGAAUAAUAAUUUUAGUGAUUUGUUACAGUAGAAAAUGAUAGGGUUUUGCAUUGGUUUAUACUAACGUAUCUCACGAGUUCUUGUGGAGUUUGGUCUGGAUGAAGAUUUUGAUAAAAAGAGAAACCAUGAUAUGAGAGGAAUUAAGGAGACACAAAAUCUCAAGAUUGGGGAUGCCCAAGGCACCCCAAGACAAUAUUCCAAGAAGUCUCAAGCAUCUAAGCUUGGGGAUGCCCCGUUAGGCAUCCCACCUUUCUUCUUCAACAACUAUCGGUUAGUAUCGGUUGAGCCUAAGUUUUUGCUUCUUCACAUGAGUUGUGCUAUCCUUGCAAUGUCAUUUUAUUUUGUUUUGCUUGCUGUUUGAAUACAACACCAAGAUGUUAAAUUAGUAAAUGAGAGAGUCUUCACAUAGUUACAUAAUUAUUUAGCUACUCAUUGAUCUUCACUUAUAUCUUUUUAGAGUAGUUUGUCAUUUACUCGUGUGCUUCACUUAAAUCCUGUGAGUAAAUGGUUGAAUGAGUUGAAUGUCAUAAAUCUGAAAUUAUAUAUGUUUCAUAUGCUUAUGCCAUGGGGAGUAAUGACUUCACAUAUAAGAAGUAGAGGUUGUAAAUUUAUUGGAGGUUAUCAAGCAUUGUAUUGGUCAUUUGAACUAUUCAUGAAAGAAUAUUGAAGGAAGAGAGAUUUCACAUAUAAAUAUAUUAUCAUAGACAUCUUUUAUAAUUGUGAGCACUCAUUAAGUAUGACAUGCUAAAGAGUUGAUGUUGGACAAGGAAGACAAUGUAAUGGGUUAUGUUUUCUCACAUCUCAGUUAAAGUAUAUUGUCAUGGAUCAUUCAAACAUGUUGAGCUUGCCUUUCCCCAUCAUGCUAGCCAAAAUUCCUAGCACCAAGUAGAGAUAUUACUUGUGCUUCCAAAUAUCCUUAAACUAGUUUUGCCAUGAGAGUACACCAUACCUACCUAUGGAUUGAGUAAUAUCCUUCAAGUAAGUUGUCAUCGGUGCAAGCAAUAAAAAUUGCUCUCUAAAUAUGCAUGACUUAUUAGUGCGGAGAAAAUAAGCUUUGUACGAUCUUGUUAUGGAAGCAAUAAAAGAAACGGACUGCAUAAUAAAGGUCCAUAUACAAGGGGCAAUAUAAAGUGACAUUCUUUCGCAUUAAGAUUGUGUGUAUCCAACCCUAAAAGCGCAUGGCAACCUCUGCUUCCCUCUGCGAAGGGCCUAUCUUUUACCUUAUGUCUUUUACAUUAUGCAAGAGUCACGAUGAUCUUCACCUUUCCCUUUUUCAUUUUAUCCUUUGGCAAGCACUUUGUGUUGGGGUGAUCCUGAUAUAUAUAUCCAAUUGGAUGUAAGUUAGCACGAACUAUUAUUGUUGACAUCACCCAAAGGUGAAUACGUUGGGAGGUGAAAUUAUAAGCCCCUAUCUUUCUCUGUGUCUGAUUAAAACUCCAUAACCACAAGUAUUGCAUGAGUGUUAGCAAUUAUAGAAGACUAUAUGAUAGUUGAGUAUGUGGAGUUUGCUAAAUCAAAGCUCUGACAUAGACCCUUCUAAAAAUAAGAUGAAUUGCAAUUGUUUGAUGACUAAGAAUGAAGUUUGCUAGUUUUCAAGAAAGUUUAUGGUCUAUGCUUUAACAUGUGAAUUUCUUGUUACUGGUUCGUGAGAAGUUUUAUGAGAUGAACUAUUGUCAUGACAUAUAAACAUGCUAGAAAAGGUGAUUGAAAUUAUCAUUGAUCAAACCUGUGCACCUGCUAGCAUUCACACUUCAUAAAUUGUUUCUUUUAUCACUUACCUACUCGAGGACGAGCCGGAAUUAAGCUUGGGGAUGCUGAUACGUCUCCAAUGUAUCUAUAAUUUAUGAAGCAUUCAUGCUAUUUUAUUAUUUGUUUUUAAUGAUUAUGGGCUUUAUUAUUACUUUUGGGACUAACCUAUUAACCGGAGGCCCAGCCCAUAUUGUUGUUUUAUUGCCUGUUUCAGUAUUUCGAAGAAAAGGAAUAUCAAACGGAGUCCAAACGGAAUGAAACCUUCGACAUCGUGAUUUUUGGGAAGAAUAUGAUCCGGGAGACUUGGAGUUCACGUCAGAAGAGCCUCGAGGAGGACAGGAGAUAGGAGGGCCCCCCCCCACUGGGCACGCCCCCUGUCUCCUGGGACCCUCGUGCACCCCCCGACCAACUUCUUUCGCCUAUAUAAGUCCAUGUACCCUAAAAACAUCGAAAACGAAGAUAGAUCGGGAGUUCCGCCGCCGCAAGCCUCUAUAGCCACCAAAAACCUCUCGGGAGCCCAUUCCGGCACCCUGCCAGAGGGGGGACCCCAUCACCGGUGGCCAUCUUCAUCAUCCCGGCGCUAUCCAUGACGAGAAGGGAGUAGUUCACCCUCGGGGCUGAGGGUAUGUACCAAUAGAUAUGUGUUUGAUCUCUCUCUCUCUCUUGUGUUCUAUCUCGUGUUCCCUCUGUGGAACGAUCUUGAUGUAUCGCGAGCUUUGUUAUUGUAGUUGGAUCUUAUGAUGUUUCUCCCCCUCUACUCUCUUGUAAUGGAUUGAGUUCUCCCUUCAAAGUUAUCUUAUCGGAUUGAGUAUUUAAUGAUUUGAGAACACUUGAUGUAUGUCUUGCCGUGCUUAUCUGUGGUGACAAUGGGAUAUCAUGUGCCACUUGAUGUAUGUUUUGGUGACCAACUUGCGGGUUCUGCCCAUGAACCUAUGCAUAGGGGUUGGCACACGUUUUCGUCUUGACUCUCCGGUAGAAACUUUGGGGCACUCUUUGAAGUACUUUGUGUUGGUUGAAUAGAUGAAUCUGAGAUUGUGUGAUGCAUAUCAUAUAAUCAUGCCCACGGACACUUGAGGUGACAAUGGAGUAUCUAGGUGACAUUAGGGUUCUGGUUGAUUUGUGUCUUAAGGUGUUAUUCUAGUACGAACUCUUCAAUAGAUUGAUCCUAAAGAAUAACUUUGAGGUGGUUUCAUACCCUACCAUAAUCUCUUUGUUUGUUCUCCGCUAUUAGUUGCUUUGGAGUGACUCUUUGUUGCAUGUUGAGGGAUUGUUAUAUGAUCUAUCUAUGUUAUUAUUGUUGAGAGAACUUGCACUAGUGAAAGUACGAACCUUAGGCCUUGUUUCCUACCAUUGCAAUACCGUUUACGCUCACUUUUAUCAUUAGUUACCUUGCUGUUUUUAUAAUUUCAUAUUACAAAAACCAUUAUCUACCAUCCAUAUUGCACUUGUAUCACCAUCUCUUCGCCGAACUAGUGCACCUAUACAAUUUACCAUUGUAUUGGGUGUGUUGGGGACACAAGAGACUCUUUGUUAUUUGGUUGCAGGGUUGUUUGAGAGAGACCAUCUUCAUCCUACGCCUCCCACGAAUUGAUAAACCUUAGGUCAUCCACUUGAGGGAAAUUUCCUAUUGUCCUACAAACCUAUGCACUUGCAGGCCCAACAACAUCUACAAGAAGAAGGUUGUGUAGAAGACAUCAAUGAGCAGUACUUUUCGCCAGGUCCGCAUACGCGUCUGCAGCACUCCAUAGCUGAUCCAGAGGGGCAUACUUCGGAUCUCGAAACUUCAUCCGCAACAAAAAGGGCCUCCCAUCCAUGAUAUCUCCGGCUUGUCGAAGCUCCUCCCGUGCAGCUCUAUUUUCAGAGCGUGUUUCCUUGGCUGCUUCCAAGGCCUUCUUCAUGUCAGCCGCUUUCGCUUGGCUCUCCUUUUCAAGGAGCUCAUAUUGGCUGGCGGCAUCUUUUAGCUCAACAGCCAUCUUGGCUAUUUUGUCUUCACUCUGGCAAUGAGCAGCCUGCUCGGCUCUUAACUCUUCGGCCACCUUCAGGGCGGCCGCAUCACUUCUCCUAGCUUGUUCCUUGGCUAGGGCAAGUUCCGCCCGAAGGGCCUCCACGGCAGCAGCUCCAUCUGCAGCCACAGCAUAUUAUAGAUACUAGCAUCGUGCUCCUUUUAAAAUAUUUGCUGACAAUUCACAAAAUAAACACAUACCCUGUGCCUCGUCAAGCCGUUUGUUCACAAGUGCGAUGUCGGCAUCCGCCACAUCAAGUUGUCGCCUCAGUUCGGCGAAUUCAUCAGUCCGGUCAACCGUUGGACACUUAGCCGUCUGCAAAUAACGCAGCGCGAGCAUUACUUGGGAGUAUGAUCCUACAUUUGCCGCCUCAGGUUGGCAACCAGAGUCUCACGGGCUACUAUCUAUACAGAGCACACCUAGCGUGUGCGGUAUAGCUGAAAGUUUACAUAUUUCUUUGCGUACCUCAAAGCCUUUGAGCAGGCUCGUAAAAGCUUCAUUCAACCCGUUUUUGGCGGAUGAAAACCUCUCAAACACCGUACUCAUUAAAGUAUGGUGCGCCUCUGAUAUAGUCGCUUGGUCCAGAAGGCCCGUCAGUGUGUCCGACUCGGUGUUGGACAAUCCCGGACUCUUCUUGUUGCUCUCCCUGGGAGCCGAAUACUCCGGGCUUCGGGCGGCCGAAGCAUUAACUUCUCGCCUUAGUGGAUCAGGAGAAAUCCUCUGUGACCACACCUCGGGGUCGUCCGUCCCAUGGGGCAGGGAGGCAGGAGGAGGCAUUUUGCUCUCCAUCAUCUCCGGAACAAGAUCCCCAGAAGACGAACUCUGUUGAGAAGGGCUAUGAUCCGGACUGCAAGUUAGGUCUCGGUUAUUAUUCUCAGAGAUAAAGCAGGACAUGUUUAUCACAUUACUUUUUCACUUACAGCUCGGUGGAGGGCUGGCCCGUUUGCAGGCACUGUGCGGUGAGGACGCCCUCUGGGGCAGGGCUCCCAGGCUAGGGUUUCUUCCCUUGUUUGGGCACCUCCGUUUUCCAAGUCUUCGGAGGCGGCCCUCUUCUUCCCGUGGGGGUAGGGAAUUUUAGAUUCACCUCCCCGAUUAUCCUCCUCCGUGGAGACAUUAAUCCCCCCAGUUUGGAUGUGCAAUGUAUGAAGCUCGCUUUUGGCUUCUCUACUCUUCCCUUCAUCCUUCCCCGAUGGCACUUGAUAGGGUGCGCGUUUAAGCAUCCUGGUUAAUGCAGGAUUCGGUGAGCCUUCGGGGAGAGGGGCCGGACACCUAAUCCUCUCCGCCUUACUUAGCCAAUCCUGGACGCGGAUAGUUUUCCGAAUAAUGUUAUGAUAAACAUGAACAGCGUGUUCGGUUGCAGAGUUACUUACUUGGGUAUCUAGACGAUUGCAGUUCAAGCCCACAUCCUCGGUGGUGUCCAAACACUUUAUUCGUGAUCCAAAAUAUAAGCAAUACAUCCCUUCGAGCGUCAUGCUAAAGAAGUGUUGAAUAGUUCGUGGUCCUUCUUGGUUGAACUCCCACAUCUGGAGAGGUCGACGUUUGCACGGCAGGACCCGACGGACUGGCAUUACCUGAAUUAUUUUGAUGAGACUGACAUCCCUCUCAAGAAGAUCCCAAAUACGGCUUUGCAAUGUUGGUACGUCAUUAGCAGUCCCCUAGCCCAGUCCCUCGUUGACCCAUGAUGCCAGUUGAGGUGGAGGGCCCGAGCAGAAGGCAGGGGCGGCCGCCCACUUUGUGCUCAGGGAGCUGUGAUAUAGAACCACCUCCAUUGCCAUAAAUCGGACACCUCCGAGAAGGAACCUUCUGGCCAUGGGGCAUCAACGCUUUUGCUUAUUAUAGCGCCUCUCACUCCGCAUGUCGCCCGUCGAUCACCUUCGGCUUUACAUUGAAGGUCUUGAGCCAUAGACCGAAGUGUGGGUGAUGUGGAGGAAGGCUUCGCACACGACGAUAAACGACGAGAUGUGAAGGAUGGAAUCCGGAGCUAGAUCUUGAAAAUCUAGCCCGUAAUAGAACAUGACCCCUCUCACAAAGGGAUCCAGACUAAAGCCCAAGCCUCGGAGGAAGUGGGAAAGAAAUAUGACACUCUCGUUGGGUUCGGGAGUGGGGAUGACCUGCCCUUGGGCAGGAAUACUACAGGAAUCUGGUACUUUGCCAUCAGCAAUAGCGGACAGCAAAGGCUGGGAUGGCGGACGGCAAAGGCCUUUGCCAUCUACCGCUGACGGCAAAUAGCUCCGGCAAAGACAGGGUCGGCAAAGGCCUUCUUUGUCGUCUGUUUUUUGCUGCGGACGGCAAAGAGGCCUUUGCCAUCAGUGGCAGACGGCAAAGGGCAUGGCUCUUAGCCAUCUGCUGGUAGAAGACAAAGGGCAUGACUCUUUGCCAUCUGCUGGCAGAUGGCAAAGGCUGCAGGCUCUUUACCAUCUGUUGGCAGAUGGCAAAGAGACCAAAUAGGCAUUAAUUAUGUUUCUUCUUAUAUCAAUUCAUUUUCACAGAAAAUCAAACACAGAUAUAUAUAUAUAUAUAUCCAUGAACACAUAUCCAACACAUGUUACCAAUAGCCAUGAACACAUAUCCAACACAUGUUACCAAUAGUCAUGAACACAUAUAUAUCCAACACAUAUCCAUGAACACAUAUCCAACACAUAUUACAAGGAGCCAAAGGAGAGAACCAAUACCAAAGAGCCAAAGGAGAGAACCAGCACCACACUUGCACCUGGUAUUUUUCUGCAAUUAGGGCACUGCACCCACAAGCACAGGGGGCUAGUACCAUUAUAAACUGCUAAAAAAAUCACUGACGCCUCUUCACGCACAAAAAAUCCAGCUACUUGUGAGCCUAGCCUAAUUAAAUGGCCAUCUCUUUUACUUCCAUGAUAGUGGCUGAAAUGUCAGAUAUACAAGAAAGGAAAUCAUUUACUUGUGAAUAUUCUAAAUGAAGAGCAGAACCUAGAAUAUUUUGCCUUUGCUAAAAUAAAUAAAUUGAGAAUGAAGAUAAUAGUUUCAAGUGACAACUCACCAUUUCCCUUUGGUAGCACGCCAAGGAAGCUCUCUCUUGACUGUGACCCCCCGAUCAUAUUCAGUUCCGCUCCCUGCAAGCACAAGAAUUUUCUUUCUAUUCCAUUUUGCACCAUAUCUCAGCCAUCAUUCAGCAUGCAUCUGGACAACUUUGGACCUAGCAAGGUUUUUUCUACAAAGAUCAAAGUGCUAAGUAUAAGUUGUUAGGAGAAAAAGUGAAUUUUAUGGCACAUGUACUCUGUUCCCACCACAUGUAAAUUUUAGGAGGAAAAGCCAGCUACAGCCAUCAACCACAAAAUACUAACCAAUCUCCACAAAUAUGAAAAUAUUGCAAUGAAUACAUGUUGCAUGCCACUGCAGCCUGCAUCACUUCAUUAAAAACAUCACCACUUUCAUAGUAGCAAGAUACAAGCACUUACGCUUAUUCUAAAUAUACGCAACAAGCAUCCAACCAGCAGAAUGGUGAAAUGUCAGUUCAUCGAAAACUGUUUGUUUGCUCAACAAGGAGAAUAUAUCAAGGGAAAGGGUAAGAAUCUAGAUAUAUUUUCUUUUAUCUUGCAUGGCUGCUACAAGUGUGAAUCAAGCUAUACAUUGCAACUGAAAUAUGGAUUUACAUAAUGUAUAAUUGUAAGUGCAUAACAUCCAAAUGGACAGAAUGGUAGCAUAGAUGGAUAUCUAAACUAAAAUAAGCAUGUUCAAGUCUUAUCAAAUAGAACAACCAUAGGAGCAUGAUCAUGUCCUAAUACCCAAUAUUAAAGCAUAGAGCAAUGACUAGUAGAAUUUAAAUAGGAAACAUGGUUUUCCAAAACAUAAAUUCAGAUUUGUGCAGGUUGCCCAGACUAUAUGACCAGUUUAGGAAUUACUAUAAUCAAGGAAGGAGGCCUUUU